This 168-nucleotide unclassified non-coding RNA is filed under the name uncultured Hypocreales. Its description in RNAcentral is "sequence contains ITS2". The record is from RNAcentral. Lineage: Eukaryota; Fungi; Ascomycota; Sordariomycetes; Hypocreales. RNAcentral also lists the same sequence under 1 other name.
CAACCCUCAAGCCCCUCUGGCGGUUUGGCGUUGGGGAUCGGCCCCGCUUCCGGCGGCCGGCCCCGAAUACCAUCGGCGGUCACGUCGUGCGACUCUGUGUAGUAGUAAACCACUCGCAUUGGAACACGGUCGUGGCCACGCCGCAAACGAUCUUCGGAUCCUUCUCAA